GGAGCGCAGGCAGGACGGACAGGGCGGCCGGGGCAGCGCAGGCAGCAGAAGUUUGAAAACCUCCGACACUUACCUGGCCGAGCGCGUCCCUGGCCGCUCCGGGGAGUCCCGCGCGAGGUGCAACCAUCACCAACAGUGUUUUGGUGUUUUUUGGUGUUUUUGGUUUUUUUUUGGAAAGCCCAAAAGCAAAGCGUCCCUUUCUUCAGGUGUGUAUAUAAGUUACUGUACUGUGUGGGAGGGUCACGAUCUCACUAGGUGCAGAAGAUUCCCCAGGAUUAACCCCUCCUCUCCCUACCCCUUCUGCAACUUGUUGAGGAUUUUAUACACACACGCGCGCAGGCACGGGCACACGGGCACACACACACACACACGGACGGGAGAGCAAGGAGAAAGCGAGCUCCGCGGAGUCCGGCUGCCCCCCGACGCCGUUGUGAUUGGAUGGUCUUUUCAUGGAGAGGGGACGUCUCAAGUCGAAGUCACGAUUUCUCCUCAGUUUGGAACCAUCUGUGACUGGAGCCAUGACGCAGCCAGAGCACAUUACUCACUUUUACAGUCACGACUUGGAAAUCCGUGCAGUUUCCAACCAAAAUUACACCGCCACCAUUGAAUUAUUUAAUAGGAUCCAGUUAAGGAUUAGAGCCAUUGCAUGCGGUCUUGGCCAGGAGGUGCUCUCACCCCAGCCCAGUGUACUGUGCUAUACUGAUGUUCAUGGCUGCACCAUGCCAUUGUCUGCAGGAUCCGCAAUUGUUGCUGGGCUUUGUGUGGUCUCAGUCUGCGGCUAAGCCCCCUUCCACGGCGGUUUCGGAGGGGAUACCAUUGUCCGGGAUAACGCGAUGUUGCAUGUGAGUGCCAGACGGUGUUUCCUCGUCUCUUUUAAUGCAAUCUGAUGACAUGCCUUUGCUAGCCGGAAUGCCUGCGAACCUGCAUGCUCGUAACCUAGCGAGAACUUCCCUGGCUCGCAGAAGCGGUGAGGGGGUGACCGGUGGUUGCAGCACCGAGGUAACCCUACAUAGCUGCUCCGUAUACACCACAACAAUCCCCUACUACUUCGCCUCUAAUUCAGUCAUUUCACCAACUCCGCUGUUGAGGGUAUGACUAAGGACGCGAAGGACGGGCAAUAAUAAAAACAGACGCUCGCACA
This 1141-nucleotide long non-coding RNA is filed under the name Lonchura striata (white-rumped munia). RNAcentral's name for it is "domestica (Bengalese finch) lncRNA (ENSLSDG00000014609.1)". Lineage: Eukaryota; Metazoa; Chordata; Aves; Passeriformes; Estrildidae. The record is from RNAcentral.